AAAUUUUCAUAAUCUGUGGGCCUGACAGGAUCUGCCCAAUGGUACUGGAGGAGCCAGCAGAAGAAUUCCUUCAUGAAAGGGCUGUCAGGCACUGGGAGGGGUUCCCUGGGGCAGCCCCAUCCCUGCUGAUGUUCAGGAGGUGUGUGGACAUGGAGAUGAGGGAUGUGGUUUGGUGGUGGGAUGCAGUAGGGCAGCUUGGUGGCUGGACUCGGUGAUCUUAGAGACCGUUUGCAGCCCAGAUAAUUCUGUGGUUGUAUCAUUUUUGAAUUGAGGGCUUAUACCAAUUGUUCUUUCAGCUCAGUUUUCCUCUGUUAAUUUCUUUUUCAUGUCAAACACACUUUGGAGGUACCACGCCAGAACCCAUUCUAACAUUUCUGUAAGCUUGGUGUGAUGGCUUAGUUGCCAGCCAACAGUCAACAUACUGGUAAUCACUGCUCCUUGUUCCAAGUGGCCCUCCCAGGACCAGCAAGGAGCUGCAAAGUGGGGCCUGAGCUCUGCAGGUGGUGGCAGCAGCUCACAGCAGCGUGUGGCAGUGCAUGGCAGCACAUGGCACCAUCCAGCUUGCUGAGCACAUUGCAAGAGGGGACGUGCUGCAGAGCUAGGCCUCGCCAGCACCAGUGGGACCUUUUUUUGCUAAUACUACUUGUAGUGGCAAUGCUAAGUCACGGCCUGAAACAGUGAUUGAGCACCUGGUGGGAAGGCAGGGUCAGCCCAGGGGAGCUCAGCUGCAUGCAAUGCACAUGAGAGACUGAAGGGGUAGGAGCAAGGAUCACCCUUCCCAGACGUCAUUUAAGUGUUGGCAGUGGAGGUGAGGGCAUUUCUUGCUGGAGAUCCCUGCCUACCCGAGGCUUUCUAAAGUCUGCUGUUCUCUGUUUGGAGCCUGUACUGCACAUGAAGAAAGGAAAAGUAACUGGAACGCAACCCCCAGCCAUGUCCACUAAUUCUUGUGGGGAAGGGCUUUUGGACUGAGAAGUCGGACGGCUUAACCGGGCACACACGAAAGCGUGAUUUCAACAGCUCAGUACUGGCAGAGGCACAAAGCGCUAUUUCUCUGCCGCCCCUCUGCCCUGAGCUGCAGCAGUACCGCAGUUGAAAGCGCGGACGGGCCUUCAGGAGAGACUGAAGUCUGCUUACAACUGGGGAGCUGCUGCGUUUCGGACCUUCCUUCGUGCCCCGCUGUGCGCGGGCGGCCGCGUCCCCUGUAGGCGGCAGCGGUGAUCGCGGUGCGGGCGGGCGCUGCUCCGUGAGCUCCAGGCCGCGCCCUGCGGCACGUGGGGCGGCGAGGGCGCUUCAGGUUUGGGUCCUGAGUGCUUGGCUCGCGUUUCCUCGUAAUUUUGGGUCUGCUGCUUUUCUGCACGGGUUCGUGGAGUUGGAGUAAGAUCGUCCUUCGGGACAGUGCGCAGCAGAUCGGGAGCGUGCUCGUGUAAACGGAAUGCUGAGGUGCUCUGGAAGCGCUCCUGUUUGAGCGCCUGUUUUCCUUCCGGCUCAGGAGCAGCGCUGGACGAGACCCACCUCCCUGCACGGAGAUGAAGAAAAUCAUAAUAUGUUUGAAGUAAAAGAACUGCAAACAGGGAGGUUUUCAUAGAGCCAUUUCUUUAAAGUUAAGACGACGUUCAGAUCGAAAGUGAAGGGUUAUUCAGGAAAGCACUCAAUCGUAUGGCUACAGCAAUGGAGCAGACCCGUUCAGUCUCAGCUCGCAGCAGCACAAAUAGGGGUGCAGUGGGAUUCAUCAGGCCAGUGCCUCCUCCUGGAGCUGAGCGCAAGCCCAGGCUCCUGGAUCGUGCCAUCCCGGACGUUUAUUUUUCUGAAACGUAAACCUAUGCACUCCUCUUUGUGGAUGCAGAGUUUGCUAUAUUCUGUCAAGCCUGCAGCGAUUGCUUACGGGCCACAGAUGGAUGCCUCAGCUCACUGGGGAGACACGUCCUGUGAUGUGUGCUGCUUGUUCACAGCUGAUCUCGAAAGGAGCUGACAUAAGGGCAUUAAGGAGCAUGGUUUUACAGAAAUGCACUCCCUGCAUUUCUGACUGAAAGGGCAUGUGCUGAGUAGUUAACUGAGCAGAGACCGAAGUGUUUGAGAGGUUUGUACUCAAGCCUGGGCUGCAGGGCUGCAGUCAGUGCAUGCUUUUAGCUUGAAUUUUCACUUCUUCGUUCUGGAAGGAAGAAUGGGAGAAAUGUUCUGGGUGCAAAUUCCGUGUGCAUCUCAUGCCAUCUGCUAAUAGCAUGUGUGAGCUGUUCUUCUGCCAGAAACCAGGAACAAAGAUAACAUCACUGCAGAGAGAACUGCCCUGCUCCCAAGUGAGGCUGGUACUGCAGGAAGCUGCCACUGGUCCUGAGCACAUUCACCAGUCUUGAGAGUCUGCUGUGCCACAGCUGGAUGCUCAUCUGUCCAAGAACCAGGCAUUUCUCUGCCUUUCCGCAGCCUGCAAUACAGUCAGGAUAAGGAUACUAAGGGAUAUUAGCAGCUGCCAAACUGCCAGGAGCUGUUGCUCAAUGAACAAGUCUGUGGUGUUUGGUGUGAACCGACGGGUAACUGUGAGCAGCUACUUAAAUAGCUCCAGCGAUGUUUGGAGAAGGCUGUUCCCUGACACUGGCUAAAAUCUGAGAAUAAACAUCUUGCCACAGGUGACCACCUGAUCUGUGCAUAUGGGCCUAAAAAAAGGUUUGUUAAGUUUAAGCACCUCAAAAUAAAGCUCAGCAGACACCAGACGCCAAUAGUUGUGUCUGCUUCAGCACUUAGCUUAGUGCAAGAUAUAAAAAGCAGCAUUGUACAAGGGCUUUGUAGUGGUGGAGUGCAUGGCUGGGGCUCCUGUGGUGUUGCAGGGCGACCACAUAACGCUCAGUCAGUCUGUAGGGCACUGCUGAGGAGACUGCGGGGCUUUAAAUAUAGGCAUUAAAUACCACACUGACAGAACGAUGAAGAAGCGGUGAGGCCCGCGAAGGGAGGGAUGGAGAAACCCAAUGGCUUAUUUUGUUUAAUGUUUUUUGCAAAUAGAGUGAAUGUCUGCUUGGCAACCUGUGCUUGCAGGAACAUGGCCCCACUCCGUGCAUCGGGUGAACCCCAGGGGCUUGUGAGGACAGCCCUGUGCUGCUCCAGGCUGCCAGCUCAGCUCAGGCCCUGGGGAACACGCAUGUGCAGAAGGGCUGCGUGGCUGCGCGAGGCCGUGCAGCCCAAGUGUGCUUUCUGUGUUCAGCUGGAGCUUCUCCCCACCUGAAGCACAGGCUGGGAGUCGCAACACAGCCCAGCUGCCUGUGCUCCCCCCCCGAGCUCUAGUAAGAUCCUGAGGGCCAGCACAGUGGCCAAAGCAGGGGCACAGCAGGACCCUACGCCUAAACCCUCCCUGUGGGCAUGGAGCAGGCUUGGCCCGCAUGCUUGGCUUGCCUACUGUUCCUUUUGCACUAGGCUGCCCAACUGUUUGAAACAGCAGGUGAUAGAGGGGAUGGUGCUGAGACUGUUCUGCAUCUGUGAGAGUUGAAAAGUUCAUGGUGACAGCUGAGAUAAAGGCAGCAGUGCUCCACGCCCUGCCCCGCAGCACCCAGCCCAGUGCAGCCCCGCGGCCUCACCCCUCCGCCAAGCCUCUGACUUAAAAUUCACAGCUAUGUAUAACAUUGGUGUGUAAUUAUUGCUUGUUAGGACAGGAAAGUAGAGUAGGUCCAGAAAUAAGCUUGUGCUUUUCCGAAUUAACCUUGAAUUAACCCCAUGGCUUUUUGAACAUCGAGAGAAAUGUCCAAAUGCUGCCUGCCCACCCCAUGGCAGCACACAGGCUCUGCUGCUUCCUCCUCCCAGUGGGUCACACCAGUGCCACGGCCCUCCUCUCACCCGCUGCACUGAGCUGCUUCCUCCUCAAAUCUCCUCCUCUCAGUGCUUCUCCUCUGGUAUCAUUCCAGUUAUCUCUGUUCAGCCUCGGUUUGUAGAUAGCAAUGAAUGGUCUUAGAGAAGCAGAGGGCUGGGGAUUGUACCUGGGUCACUUGUAGAUUCUGGCGUUGCAUGGUGAACUUAAAGCUGUUUUGCAAGGAACUUAGAGAGAGCCAGCUCUGAGUCAAAAGCUUAGCUGAAGGUCUCUGUUAGCUAACGCCCAGCGAAGCCCAGGGCAAGGCAGGCUGGGUUUUGCCAGUCUGUGGAAUAGGGAACGCUGCAGGUGCUUCGUGAAACCCUGCAGGAGGAGCAAGCAGCAAAGAUGUGAGUAUGGCAGAGGAACGGAGAGACGUGUU
Meleagris gallopavo (turkey) is the source of this 4208-nucleotide non-coding RNA. The record is from RefSeq and is a predicted model, not a curated record. NCBI's taxonomy places the organism in Eukaryota, Metazoa, Chordata, Aves, Galliformes, Phasianidae.